Molecule: ribosomal RNA, 237 nt
Filed under: uncultured bacterium
Lineage: Bacteria
Description: partial 16S ribosomal RNA
Rfam family: Bacterial small subunit ribosomal RNA
Source: RNAcentral
CCGGCGCACGGGUGAGUAACACGUAUCCAACCUGCCGUCUACUCUUGGACAGCCUUCUGAAGGAAGAUUAAUACAAGAUGGCAUCAUGAGUCCGCAUGUUCACAUGAUUAAAGGUAUUCCGGUAGACGAUGGGGAUGCGUUCCAUUAGAUAGUAGGCGGGGUAACGGCCCACCAGUCUUCGAUGGAUAGGGGUUCUGAGAGGAAGGUCCCCCACAUUGGAACUGAGACACGGUCCAA